Penaeus indicus is the source of this 567-nucleotide long non-coding RNA. RefSeq lists it as uncharacterized. Lineage: Eukaryota; Metazoa; Arthropoda; Malacostraca; Decapoda; Penaeidae. The transcript has 3 exons. The record is from RefSeq and is a predicted model, not a curated record.
UCCUCGUCGCCGCGCUUAUUGUAUAAACCCGUCCCUAUCCUAACUGGGAGAAUAUCGGUGACCGUAUUGUUAAUAUCUACUUUUCUAAACGCUCUCUGAGAGAACUGGAGAUCGAAAGAGAAAGUUAUACCUUUGUUUAUAUCUGUACAUAAGGGACGGAGACGCAAGGGGGAACUUCCUCAGCUGAGCCACAAAAGAGAAUCGUGCUCGGGACCGGCCGUUGGAGCAACUGCGAUUGUGGGCGUGCCGCCCCAGGGGGUCGCCGUCCAGCGCACGGCCCGGGAGUCGAGCCUGGGUUCCGAAGCGCCCUUGUUGAGGUCGUGUCUCGGGGGAUGAUGGGAUCGUGAGCGUCCAUGCGAGGCCAGGGAGAGAGGGAGGAGGUUCCGGCACGCCCCCCUCGCCGUCAGCGCCGUCAGUCGCUCCGCUUGCUCCUCCGUCAGCAGCUCAAGGCGCAGUCGAGCAAGAUGGCGGCCGCCUUCAGGAAGUUCUUUCGCUCGGGGGAGAAGCUGGUGGAGCCGCAGUACCAAGCGGCGAGGGGCCAGAACGGCGGGAACGGCAGCGCGCGAA